GCAUUGGUGGUUCCGUGGUAGAAUUUUUGCCUUUCGUGCAGGAGACCUGAGUUCAAUUUCCAGCCAACGUA
This 71-nucleotide transfer RNA is filed under the name Loxodonta africana (African savanna elephant). It matches the Rfam family "tRNA". Rfam says of the family: Transfer RNA (tRNA) molecules are approximately 80 nucleotides in length. Their secondary structure includes four short double-helical elements and three loops (D, anti-codon, and T loops). Further hydrogen bonds mediate the characteristic L-shaped molecular structure. tRNAs have two regions of fundamental functional importance: the anti-codon, which is responsible for specific mRNA codon recognition, and the 3' end, to which the tRNAs corresponding amino acid is attached (by aminoacyl-tRNA synthetases). tRNAs cope with the degeneracy of the genetic code in two manners: having more than one tRNA (with a specific anti-codon) for a particular amino acid; and 'wobble' base-pairing, i.e. permitting non-standard base-pairing at the 3rd anti-codon position. Lineage: Eukaryota; Metazoa; Chordata; Mammalia; Proboscidea; Elephantidae. The record is from Rfam by way of RNAcentral.